This 67-nucleotide transfer RNA is filed under the name Cosmoscarta mandarina. RNAcentral describes it as "tRNA-Glu". The record is from RNAcentral. Lineage: Eukaryota; Metazoa; Arthropoda; Insecta; Hemiptera; Cercopidae.
AUUUAUAAAGUUUAUAUAACAUUUCAUUUUCAAUGAAAAAAAAAGAAUUAAAUGUUCUUUAUAAAUA